This 484-nucleotide ribosomal RNA is filed under the name uncultured bacterium. RNAcentral's name for it is "partial 16S ribosomal RNA". It matches the Rfam family "Bacterial small subunit ribosomal RNA", at positions 29 to 507 of the family's 1533-position model. The record is from RNAcentral.
AUUGAACGCUGGCGGCAUGCUUUACACAUGCAAGUCGAACGGCAGCGCGGGCUUCGGCCUGGCGGCGAGUGGCGAACGGGUGAGUAAUACAUCGGAACGUGCCCAGUAGUGGGGGAUAGCUCGGCGAAAGCCGGAUUAAUACCGCAUACGACCUGAGGGUGAAAGCGGGGGAUCUUCGGACCUCGCGCUAUUGGAGCGGCCGAUGGCAGAUUAGCUAGUUGGUGGGGUAAAGGCCUACCAAGGCGACGAUCUGUAGCUGGUCUGAGAGGACGACCAGCCACACUGGGACUGAGACACGGCCCAGACUCCUACGGGAGGCAGCAGUGGGGAAUUUUGGACAAUGGGCGAAAGCCUGAUCCAGCAAUGCCGCGUGUGUGAUGAAGGCCUUCGGAUUGUAAAGCACUUUUGGCGGGAACGAAAAGGACUGUGCCAAUACCACGGUUCGAUGACGGUACCCGCAGAAUAAGCACCGGCUAACUACGUG